ACGGAGGGUGCAAGCGUUAUCCGGAUUCACUGGGUUUAAAGGGUGCGUAGGUGGAUUAGUAAGUCAGUGGUGAAAUCUCUGGGCUUAACUCAGAAACUGCCAUUGAUACUAUUAGUCUUGAAUACCGUGGAGGUCAGCGGAAUAUGUCAUGUAGCGGUGAGAUGCUUAGAUAUGACAUAGAACACCAAUUGCGUAGGCAGCUUACUACACGAUCAUUGACGCUGAGGCACGAAAGCGUGGGGAGCGAACAGGA
Molecule: ribosomal RNA, 253 nt
Filed under: uncultured prokaryote
Description: partial 16S ribosomal RNA
Rfam family: Bacterial small subunit ribosomal RNA
Source: RNAcentral